Molecule: ribosomal RNA, 363 nt
Filed under: Phytoptus avellanae
Lineage: Eukaryota; Metazoa; Arthropoda; Arachnida; Trombidiformes; Phytoptidae
Description: partial large subunit ribosomal RNA
Rfam family: Eukaryotic large subunit ribosomal RNA
Source: RNAcentral
AGUCUAGUAGUAUCGAGUCGAUCGGUCUUGAUUAGGCCAGACAUUGAGAGUUGUAAAAAACGUCUCAAAAAUAAAUAUAAAUGACGGCAAAGUGAAAUCAAAUUAUAUGUGAUCUGAAGUCUAUAAAAAUGGCUUACAGCGCAACAUAUGCCCAUUCGUAUGGUUAUACGCGCAAGUGUUAACCGGGUGGAGCAAAGAGAUACUUGACUGGUCCCCGAAAGAUGGUGAACUAUUCCUGGCCAGAUUGAAGCCAGAGGAAACUCUGGUGGAGGAUUGUAGCGAUUCUGACGUGCAAAUCGAUCGUCAGAGCUGGGUAUAGGGGCGAAAGACUAAUCGAACCAUCUAGUAGCUGGGUUCCUUCCG